Small nuclear RNA from Myodes glareolus (Bank vole), 107 nucleotides. Lineage: Eukaryota; Metazoa; Chordata; Mammalia; Rodentia; Cricetidae. The record is from RefSeq and is a predicted model, not a curated record.
GUGUUUGCUUUGGCAGCACACAUGCUAAAAUUGGAACGAUACAGAGAAGGUUAGCAUGGCCUCUAUGUAGGAAUGACACACAAAUUCAUAAAAUAUUCCUGUUUUAA